This 253-nucleotide long non-coding RNA is filed under the name Elaeis guineensis (African oil palm). RNAcentral describes it as "long non-coding RNA (EGUI_LNC059093)". The record is from RNAcentral. Lineage: Eukaryota; Viridiplantae; Streptophyta; Magnoliopsida; Arecales; Arecaceae.
CGGGGAUGUCGAACCCCUUCACUUCUGCCCUAGAGGUCCGAAACCUCUAGUUUUGUAUUUUUUCUUUGUGGUGAUUUUUUUUUGUUCUCUUGUACUUGAAAAUUAUUUAAUCAAUGAAAUCGGAUUCUUUUUUACAGAGAGCCUCCUUUUUUCUUCUGCAUUCUUUUCCUUCUUUUUUGUCUUCUUGCACUAAUUUGAGUCGUGGCGCUCUUGUCUUCCAACGACAGUGCCCUGUCGAAGCUCUUCCCCUGCC